CUGAGCCACCUUCUAAAAGUUUGUCCACUUCAGAGAGUGAGAGCAGGAUCCAAGAGAACUAUUGUGGUGAACAGGGAGCAAAUGACCGCAUGGAGGAGUGUGUAGAAGAGCAAAGGUUGAAGAUGCUCAUUUGCCAACUUGUGAGGAUUCUCUUUCAUCAUUGAAUGAAAAGAAAGAUGACUCUGAUAAAGGGGUACUAUCCCCUAAUGCAACUGCCCCAAUGUUUCUUCAAAAAGUUACGAAAAGACAAGUUCUUCUGUUGCACUUUUAGAAGGUGCACCAUCUGUCAAAGGAGUUGGAGAAGCACAACAUUUAAAUUCUCGUGGACGACCUGUCAGUUCUACAUCUUCACAUUCUGAUUGUGUAGGCACUGUCUCAGUUACCAAUGGCCGCGGUUUAUCACCAAGCUCAUCAGUUGGUUCAUUAUCAUCAGAGAAGUCAACACUGAAUCCCCAUGCUAAGGAAUUCAAACUAAAUCCCAAUGCCAAGAGUUUCACCCCUUCUCAAACUCCUGUUAGGCCUCUUUCUCCAGAUGGUUCCCUUUAUUUUCAACCUAACAUUCCUAGUCUGCCACAUAUGCAUGGUGUGCCUAUGGGAAUUGGAAUUGGACCAUCAUUUACUGGCCAUCAGCCGGUUAUAUUUAAUCCACAGGUUGCAUCAUUGCAAACACCACAAGCAUAUUUUCAU
This 687-nucleotide unclassified non-coding RNA is filed under the name Hevea brasiliensis (rubber tree). The record is from RNAcentral. Lineage: Eukaryota; Viridiplantae; Streptophyta; Magnoliopsida; Malpighiales; Euphorbiaceae.